GACGAACGCUGGCGGCGUGCUUAACACAUGCAAGUCGAGCGGUAAGGCCUUUCGGGGUACACGCGCGGCGAACGGGCGAGUAACACGUUGGUGAUCUGCCCUGCACUCCGGGAUAAGCCUGGGACACCGGGUCUACUACUGUAUAUGACCUCCUUUCUUCUGGCGGGUGGUGGCAAGAUUUAUCGGUGCAGGAUAGGCCCGCGGCCUAUCAGCUUGCUGGUAGAUGAAGGGCCUAUCACGGCGACGCGGGAUAGCCGACCUGUGAAGGUGACCGGCCACACUACAACUGAGAGACGGCACAGACGGCAAAGGGAGGCAGCAGGGGAAAAUAUGGCGCAAUGGGCGAAAGCAUGAGGAAACGACGCAGCGUGAGGGAAAACGGGCUACGGGGGGUGAACCUCUUUCAGAGGAAACGAAGAAAAAGUGACGGUACCUGCAGAAGAAGCACCGGCUAACUACGUG
This 462-nucleotide ribosomal RNA is filed under the name uncultured bacterium. RNAcentral describes it as "partial 16S ribosomal RNA". It matches the Rfam family "Bacterial small subunit ribosomal RNA", at positions 28 to 507 of the family's 1533-position model. The record is from RNAcentral.